UAGUACAUAAUAAUAUAAUCUCAAUAAUAAUAAUUAUUAUUAUUCAUCCAUACAUCUUGAAUCUUGAAUUAUAUCUGAAAUCUGAAAAAAAAGUAUGUUUUUAUUAAAACCACUUGUGAGAUAUGAAUAUGCAAUUGUAUAAUAUGCAAUAUUGCGGUUACCUGUCUUAUCAGAAUUGAUAAGUGAUAAAAGUACGGGAGCUAUCAGCUUCACAGACAUCAUUCCGUGAACGUCGCAUUUUCGCAAGUCUUUUGGUUUUUCAUGUUUUUAUAAUGUAUAUUUUAAAGGUAAUUUUAAGGUUUUGUAAGGCCUUCAGUGCCAUUGAUUGUCUGUAUUGUUAACCGUUCGUAUGUAGAAGGCGAUACUAAUAAUGCCUUCGUUCUUCGUUUGAUUUUCAUCUGCCGUUCCUGUUUGAUUCUCAGCUUGCAGCGUGUUUGCAGCUGCGGCCGAAGCCAACGGUGCCACACAAGUGCAUUUUCCAUUUGUAUUGUACAAAUUGAAUUUGUGUUCUAUUGAUUUGUUGGGAGUUUGCUGUUCUUACGUUUUCUAGCGAUGAGCAUUGAGCAUUAGUAUUGUGUAUUUUGUUCGUCUUCUGAAUGUGGCUAAGUGGUCACUUAGAUUAAAUCUACCACUCAACACAGUCCCUUCUUUAUUAAAAUUAUAGUACUACAAUUUAAGCCUGGCCAAAUAAUCGUUUGGCAAAAAAAUUGAGAAUCUAUCUUGCAAAUCCGAAUAAAUUUGAUUUCAUAUUUUAUGAACAUUGAGUCCUAUCUCAAAACAUUUGUAAUAUUACUAAAACUACUGAGUGUAUUUUUAAAAAAAGAACAUUUUUCAAAAAGCAUAUUUUCUAAAACCCAAGACGAUGUAUGAAUAUUAUUCACGGAAUAAGAAUAUUUCAACGAUAAAUGUGGAGAAUUCAGAAAUAUUAUACGCUGACUCUGUAAAGUUAUCAGUUGAUGAUUCAGACACGGACGAAAAUUACGACAUAUUACUAUUAUUAUCUGACGGCGUAUGGCGUUAUUCUUCGACGGGAAAGACUUUGAUGUCGCACAGCCUUGAUGUCACAUCUCUCACAGUUACAACCCAUCGACUGGCUAUGUACUGUUCUGGCCACGCACAGAACUGUAGUACUAUACAAGCUACACACUUCCGGUACAGUGGUACAACUCGAAUAGAUAACCGUAGUCCUGGACAUGUUAGUGUUUAUUUAAGGUCAAUAUUUAGGGAAACUGGCCGCGUGUGAGUGCAGUUGCCGGUUGUACACAUGUGCAGCAGUGGCGUCGUGUUUCGUAAAAAAUUGGCAUUGCUCAAAUAAAUAAUACUCAAUUUAUUGAAAACGCUGUUGCCAAUGGACAUAUAAAGAGUUUGGCGUUUGCUGAAAGUCGGGGGUACCCAUGGACACAAAACAUUUAUGUACCUGCAGGAAAAUGGGUGCCCAUGGGACAUAUCCACAUGUGAGGCGACCGCGGCAUGGGGGAACAUCGAUGUACUUCGGUAUGCUCACGAGCGCGGUUGUCCCUGGAAUUCAGCCACGUGUCGGGAAGCCGUGGCCCACAGCCACCUAACGUGUCCGUAGUACGCACUUGAAAAUGGUUGCCUAUUGGACAGUAUGACAUGUGAAGAUGCUGCAGCCAGUGGCUAUCUCAGCUGUCUAGUGUAUGAACUCAACAACAGCAGCCUUUAGGUUAUGUUGGAGAUUGUCACAGAGGCUCACUGUACACGCUUUGGUGUCGUAUACAACUCACAAAUACAUUGAACUUUAAAGAUUUUUAGGGCCCAACAAUAUCGCAAGGUAGGAGUUUGAUAAACGCUGCGGAUCAUGUUGUACGAACAACGGCUUUAGUUUGUGCUGCCGUGCAUACUAAUGUGGCACCAAUAAUUAACCAAUAUAAUAUGACAACUAUGUUUUCGUCUUCGACGUCAAGCCCUGUUCCUCAAACUGUUCAGGAAAAUUCUUUUUGUCGUUAUCAUGGAUAUGAAUUGAUAAGAAUAUUGGAUCGUCCUUUUGCUCAUGAUGGAUCUAGUCAUCCUGCAUUCAAGUUGCAAAAGGCAAGACUUCAAGGGAGAGUAAUACAAUGCGUAAUACAAUGCAUAAACGCCAAAGCUUACAUUUAUUCGGAAUUGAUGGUGACAUUAAAUGA
Long non-coding RNA from Metopolophium dirhodum (rose-grain aphid), 2141 nucleotides. RefSeq lists it as uncharacterized. The record is from RefSeq and is a predicted model, not a curated record. The transcript is spliced from 10 exons. Lineage: Eukaryota; Metazoa; Arthropoda; Insecta; Hemiptera; Aphididae.